RNAcentral lists this ribosomal RNA (301 nucleotides) under uncultured bacterium. RNAcentral describes it as "partial 16S ribosomal RNA". It matches the Rfam family "Bacterial small subunit ribosomal RNA", at positions 509 to 807 of the family's 1533-position model. The record is from RNAcentral.
CAGCCGCCGCGGUAAUACGAAGGGUGCAAGCGUUAAUCGGAAUCACUGGGCGUAAAGCGUGCGUAGGCGGUGAGUUAAGUCUGCUGUGAAAUCCCCGGGCUCAACCUGGGAAUGGCAGUGGAUACUGGCUCGCUAGAGUGUGUCAGAGGAUGGUGGAAUUCCCGGUGUAGCAGUGAAAUGCGUAGAUAUGCGGAGGAACACCGAUGGCGAAGGCAAUCCCCUGGACCUGUACUGACGCUCAUGCACGAAAGCGUGGGGAGCAAACAGGAUUAGAUACCCCGGUAGUCCCUGUCUCUUAUAC